AGCGAACGCUGGCGGCAGGCCUAACACAUGCAAGUCGAACGAACUCUUCGGAGUUAGUGGCGGACGGGUGAGUAACACGUGGGAACGUGCCUUUAGGUUCGGAAUAACUCAGGGAAACUUGUGCUAAUACCGAAUGUGCCCUUCGGGGGAAAGAUUUAUCGCCUUUAGAGCGGCCCGCGUCUGAUUAACUAGUUGGUGAGGUAAAGGCCCACCAAGGCUACGAUCAGUAGCUGGUCUGAGAGGAUGAUCAGCAACAUUGGGGCUGGGACACGGCCAAAACUCCUGCGGAGGGGAGCAGGGGGGAACCUGCCGCAAGGGGCGAAAGCAGAAGGCAGCCAGGCCGUGGAAAUGUUGAGGGUCUAAGGAUUAUAAAAUUCUUUACCCGGGGCUGUUAAGACGGUUCCCCGGGGAAGAACCCCCGGUAACUUCGUG
RNAcentral lists this ribosomal RNA (432 nucleotides) under uncultured bacterium. RNAcentral's name for it is "partial 16S ribosomal RNA". It matches the Rfam family "Bacterial small subunit ribosomal RNA", at positions 29 to 507 of the family's 1533-position model. The record is from RNAcentral.